UACGUAGGGGGCGAGCGUUGUCCGGAUUUAUUGGGCGUAAAAGGCUUGUAGGUGGCCAUGCGAAGUCGGAUGUGAAAUCUCCCGGCUUAACCGGGAGGGUGCGGUGAAUACUGAGGGACUAGAGUACGGGAGAGGAAAGUGGAAUUCCUGGUGUAGCGGUGAAAUGCGUAGAUAUCAGGAGGAACACCGGUGGUGUAGACGGCUUUCUGGACCGACACUGACGCUGAGACACGAAAGCGUGGGUAGCAAACAGG
RNAcentral lists this ribosomal RNA (254 nucleotides) under uncultured bacterium. RNAcentral's name for it is "partial 16S ribosomal RNA". It matches the Rfam family "Bacterial small subunit ribosomal RNA", at positions 524 to 776 of the family's 1533-position model. The record is from RNAcentral.